Molecule: non-coding RNA, 135 nt
Organism: Triticum urartu
Lineage: Eukaryota; Viridiplantae; Streptophyta; Magnoliopsida; Poales; Poaceae
Source: Rfam
UUUAUACUCCCUCCGUCUGGAAAUACUUGUCAUCAAAAUAAAUAAAAGAGGAUGUAUCUAGACAUAUAUUAGUUCUAGAUACAUCCUUUUUUAUCCAUUCUGAUGACAAGUAUUUUCGGACGGAGGGAGUAUUCA